UAGGGAAUCUUCGGCAAUGGACGAAAGUCUGACCGAGCAACGCCGCGUGAGUGAAGAAGGUCUUAGGACCGUAAAACUCUGUUGUUAGAGAAGAACAAGGACGUUAGUAACUGAACGUCCCCUGACGGUAUCUAACCAGAAAGCCACGGCUAACUACGUGCCAGCAGCCGCGGUAAUACGUAGGUGGCAAGCGUUGUCCGGAUUUAUUGGGCGUAAAGCGAGCGCAGGCGGUUUCUUAAGUCUGAUGUGAAAGCCCCCGGCUCAACCGGGGAGGGUCAUUGGAAACUGGGAGACUUGAGUGCGGAAGAGGGGAGUGGAAUUCCGUGUGUGGCGGUGAAAUGCGUAGAUAUAUGGAGGAACACCAGUGGCGAAGGCGGCUCUCUGGUCUGUAACAGACAAUGAGGCUCGAAAGCGUGGGGAGCAAACAGG
RNAcentral lists this ribosomal RNA (429 nucleotides) under Gemmatimonadota bacterium. RNAcentral describes it as "Gemmatimonadetes bacterium partial 16S ribosomal RNA". It matches the Rfam family "Bacterial small subunit ribosomal RNA", at positions 355 to 776 of the family's 1533-position model. Lineage: Bacteria; Pseudomonadati; Gemmatimonadota. The record is from RNAcentral.